This 253-nucleotide ribosomal RNA is filed under the name uncultured bacterium. Its description in RNAcentral is "partial 16S ribosomal RNA". It matches the Rfam family "Bacterial small subunit ribosomal RNA", at positions 524 to 776 of the family's 1533-position model. The record is from RNAcentral.
UACGUAGGGGGCAAGCGUUGUCCGGAUUUAUUGGGCGUAAAGAGCGUGUAGGCGGCUGGGUAGGUCCGUUGUGAAAACUCGAGGCUCAACCUUGGAACUGCCUUUGAUACUGGGGAUCUCGAGUCCGGAAGAGGUGAGUGGAACUGCGAGUGUAGAGGUGAAAUUCGUAGAUAUUCGCAAGAACACCAGUGGCGAAGGCGGCUCACUGGUCCGGUACUGACGCUGAGGUGCGAAAGCGUGGGGAGCAAACAGG